Long non-coding RNA from Tupaia belangeri chinensis (Chinese tree shrew), 1351 nucleotides. RefSeq lists it as uncharacterized. Lineage: Eukaryota; Metazoa; Chordata; Mammalia; Scandentia; Tupaiidae. The transcript has 3 exons. The record is from RefSeq and is a predicted model, not a curated record.
AGCCUGGCCCAGCAGAGGCCCGCAGAAGCCCUGCUUGUUUCUCCCGCCAGCCGCAGAAAGACACAACUUGCUGAUUUCCCCUCUCCAGAGCAGUCUCUAGACCAACGGUGCUACUCGUACUGGGUGCUGGUGUUCUUCCUCAGAGGGCUGCUGACCUGCUAGGGCUGGGGACACCUGAAGGAUCCUGGAGAGAAAUGGCAGAACAGGGGAAGAGGCCCCUUAAAUUUUUCAACACUUGAUGCCAUCAAAGCAACACGUCGUUCUGGCCUCGGACUACACCACCAUACAGAUGAGAGUUACCACCGCGACGGCACAAACGAAAAUGAAGAUCGAUGUCAAAAUAAAGGCCCAUGCACUUCCCCCCGAGAUUUCCCUUGCCGCCUGUUCACCUCACUGUCCGCAGCAGUUCUCACUCGGUGCAUUAACAGGUGGUAAACGACACAGAUCUGCGUUGAGGGAAACAGCCCUCUUCUCCCCAAGAAGAUGACCCGAGCAUCUGCGGGGUAAAGUUCACUUCCAUACAGCUCCUCCUGCCCCCACCUUCCCUCCCUGUGGGAGGAAACCCCCCAUUGCUCUCUAGAAAGCUGGGGGACUAGCAGCAACCUGUGCCCUGGAGCCCUAGGAGAGAUCCCAAUGGACAAACUUGUAAUUACGGUAAUGAUUUACAAAUAAGCGACAAGAGGCACUCGGAAGGGCUGGUUAGAGAUGCAGGCAGGCAGCUCAGUGCAACUGCCCAAUGACAUAAAAACUUCAGCCCCUCUCCUUGCAAAUCGUCGCUUGGAGCUGUGUGCCCUAACAGUUAGCAAGGACCCUGUUGACAGGUGUUCUCUGCUCAGCAGGGGUACAGGAAAACCUGAGUCCCCAGAGAGCUGGGCCAGGCCGUUUAGUUGGUAAUGACUCAGGUAAUGCAGGCACAGGCAGGGGUGGGAGGGGACGCUAGGACACAGGAGAGACGAGAAGGGGAAGGAAGGAGAAGUCUCCCGUCCCGUCCCGUCCUGGGCUGCAGCACAGAGACCAAAGUGCUGCAAAGCAUGGAGCUCACAGAGCCCAGCUGCUCUCAGGACACAGAAGUUUCAGGGGCCUUGUGGCCCCACCGCCUGCGUGCUGAAGCCCCAAACCGCAGGGUCAGGAGUGGUGAGAUCACCGAGGUGAUGGUGUGCUGUCGGCAUCUGCACACAGCUCUCCGAAGCAAGGACGCGAGAGCUGGAACCCUUCUUCCUUCGACGGCCCCAUGUCAGCUGAAGGAGCCACGCAGGCCCCGCCAACCCAGCACCUGUUCUGAAGACGGCCUCUGUUUUCACGACCGCUCUCAAAUCGGUUCCCACUUUCCACUCCUGCUGCCAGCUUCCGG